GUGAACGCUGGCGGUAGGCCUAACACAUGCACGUCGAACGGCAGCACAGUAAGAGCUUGCUCUUACGGGUGGCGAGUGGCGGACGGGUGAGGAAUACAUCGGAAUCUACUUUUUCGUGGGGGAUAACGUAGGGAAACUUACGCUAAUACCGCAUACGACCUACGGGUGAAAGCAGGGGAUCUUCGGACCUUGCGCGAUUGAAUGAGCCGAUGUCGGAUUAGCUAGUUGGCGGGGUAAAGGCCCACCAAGGCGACGAUCCGUAGCUGGUCUGAGAGGAUGAUCAGCCACACUGGAACUGAGACACGGUCCAGACUCCUACGGGAGGCAGCAGUGGGGAAUAUUGGACAAUGGGCGCAAGCCUGAUCCAGCCAUACCGCGUGGGUGAAGAAGGCCUUCGGGUUGUAAAGCCCUUUUGUUGGGAAAGAAAAGCAGCAGGUUAAUACCCCGCUGUUCUGACGGUACCCAAAGAAUAAGCACCGGCUAACUUCGUG
Molecule: ribosomal RNA, 491 nt
Filed under: uncultured bacterium
Lineage: Bacteria
Description: partial 16S ribosomal RNA
Rfam family: Bacterial small subunit ribosomal RNA
Source: RNAcentral